Molecule: RNase P RNA, 389 nt
Filed under: Desulfobacter latus
Lineage: Bacteria; Pseudomonadati; Thermodesulfobacteriota; Desulfobacteria; Desulfobacterales; Desulfobacteraceae
Description: Bacterial RNase P class A
Rfam family: Bacterial RNase P class A
About the family: Ribonuclease P (RNase P) is a ubiquitous endoribonuclease, found in archaea, bacteria and eukarya as well as chloroplasts and mitochondria. Its best characterised activity is the generation of mature 5'-ends of tRNAs by cleaving the 5'-leader elements of precursor-tRNAs. Cellular RNase Ps are ribonucleoproteins.
Source: Rfam by way of RNAcentral
CUGACCGGAACAAACGGUCGCCGGGCAAAUUAACGCCGGGAGGAAAGUCCGAACACCGCAGGGCAGGACGCUCCAUAACGUGGAGUCACGGUGACGUGAAGGAAAGUGCAACAGAGAGUAGACCGCCCGGCGACUCAUUUAAAUGAGUUGCCGGGUAAGGGUGAAACGGUGCGGUAAGAGCGCACCAGUUUUCCGGGUGACCGGGAAAGCUUGGUAAACCCCGUCCGGUGCAAGACCAAAUAGAGAGACGCUUGAGGGCUGCCCGUCCAAGUCUCCGGGUAGGUUGCUUGAGGUGUAUGGCAACAUGCAUCCUAGAUGAAUGACCGUUGAUUUUUUUGCGGGUAACUGCAAAAAAAUAACAGAAUUCGGCUUACGGGCCGGUCAGACCG